CACGUAGGGGGCAAGCGUUGUUCGGAAUUACUGGGCGUAAAGCGCGCGUAGGCGGUUUGGAAAGUCAGAUGUGAAAGCCCCGGGCUCAACUUGGGAACUGCAUUUGAUACUGCCAGACUAGAGUACAGAAGAGGUGACUGGAAUUCCCAGUGUAGCGGUGAAAUGCGUAGAUAUUGGGAGGAACACCAGAUGCGAAGGCGGGUCACUGGGCUGAUACUGACGCUGAUGCGCGAAAGCCAGGGGAGCGAACGGG
Molecule: ribosomal RNA, 253 nt
Filed under: uncultured bacterium
Lineage: Bacteria
Description: partial 16S ribosomal RNA
Rfam family: Bacterial small subunit ribosomal RNA
Source: RNAcentral